This 1182-nucleotide ribosomal RNA is filed under the name Triticum aestivum (bread wheat). Its description in RNAcentral is "partial small subunit ribosomal RNA". The record is from RNAcentral. Lineage: Eukaryota; Viridiplantae; Streptophyta; Magnoliopsida; Poales; Poaceae.
AUGUUACGUGCGGGUGAAUUGAGGGCGCGGAUGAACUUUAUUAUAAAGGUUGCACAAUGCAUUGGGUGGACAGGCUCAAUGCUUCGUCUGCAGGCUACCCUGACAAUGAUUGUUUCGUUGUCGACCGGGUGCGGUUUCAGCAUCGUUUCUUGCUACUACAGGAUCAAAGUCGUUGUAGGCUGGGAGGCAAUAAAUACUAUCAGGCCCGUUCAUGGUGUGUUGGGUUCGGCCCAGUUACAAGACAGAGGCAGAGGAGAUGAAUACAAGAAGUCGAGAAGACACCCUUCUCUCUGUUUCUAAAUUACAGAGUACCUCGCCUCCUCGCUGCCCGCCGGGGGCGCCUGGUUCAGGGCCGCCCUCGCCUGCUGCGGCUAUGUCCUGCUGGCGCAGCUCGCCGCGCUGGGGUACGAGGCCGUGGCGGCGGCGACGCCCGUCGAGGCCGAGGCGCUGCUGCUGCCGGCCGUGCAGGCGCUGGCCUGGGCAGCGCUGCUGGCGCUCGCGCUGCGGGCGCGUGCCGGCGGCUGGGGCAGGUCCCCGGCGCUCGUCCCGGUCUGGUGGGUGCUCUCCUCACUCCCCGCCGAGAUGCUUGAUUGGUGAUCCCAGCUCUUCGUGCUCGCCUCGCCCCGCUCCGCCGUGUCAGCCAACCGAUGGAAGAUGGAGUAGGGAUCGGGAGAGGAACAAGGAGUAAGAGGAGACCACUUGCUGGUGGCUAGAGAACCACAUCCCCAGCGCCAUGCUCCUGAGUCCGCUUCUACUGCCUCCAGUCGGAAUACCUACCUACAACAGCAAGGCUCUUUCAUUUCAUAUAUGGACGGCAAGGGCGUCUUCAGCAGCGUCUAAACAGGAUUCGACUGCCCACUCGAUGCCAAGGGAGAUGCAUCGCUGUCGCCGUCAAGGGACUCAACCAGCGCGGCCUCCAGAGAUUCACUUAAUUUGGUAUAAAAACAAUAUAGCCACCGCCAUGUCGAUGAACUCUGAAGCUGAAUUUUUUUUGUGGUUUCAUAUUUUAUUUGGAAGAAUGUCUGGGACCAACUAUCAUUUAAAACACGAAGAAUAUGGUGUUCAUGUUAUUUCUUCGCUUCUUUUUGGUGUUGUGCUGCCCUGUUGAGAGCCGACAGGAAGAAUAGGAAGCAGAGUCCGUAGGUCAUGGCUUUGUGCAGCUAGCCAGCAUGAAUAAUCGUG